Molecule: long non-coding RNA, 866 nt
Organism: Acanthochromis polyacanthus (spiny chromis)
Lineage: Eukaryota; Metazoa; Chordata; Actinopteri; Pomacentridae
Exons: 5
Source: RefSeq, a predicted model, not a curated record
GCGUCGGCGGAGCUAUGAAUGGGCAGAGAGGGGUGUUCUCUCACAGACACCAUAGCAGCAGUGAGAUGAGGAGUGCCAUCUACUCCACUGCACGUCUGCUGCACUGAGAGAAGAAGAAAAAGAAGCAAGAAGGGGGAAAAGGAGUAAUUGUUCAACCAGAGGACAAGGUGAUCCCUCCUAAACCUGCAUCAGCGCUGAGGAAAAACCUUCAAGUCGGCCAUGGAACAGAAAGUUAAUGAGUGUCCCACCACCACCUCUCCUCAGAAGCACAUGAAGAACAGGUCUAAAUCCACAGAGGAGAUGCAGCAGUCGAAGAAGGCCUUUGCUUCACAAAAAUCCCUGCCAGGCCGACCAGAGCUGGACAGAGUGAAGGAGUGUCCUGAUGGCUCUGACACGCCUUCAUCCUCCAGUGAAGAACUGAAGUGAUAAAAGAAAAAAACAGCAGGACAAGAAAGCUAUGAAAACUAUGAAAUCAUCACAAACAUAAAUGUACAUAUGUACACAGGGAAACAUGCAGAAAAUUGGGGAUAAUGGGCAAUUUAGAAAAUAAAACAAACAAGCCAUGAAUUUAAGAAAAUGUAUAUACAGAGAAGUGAGCAUCAAUUCACACUCAGACUCAAAAACACACCGAGACAAUCGCAUGUAAACACAAGGACACCUGUGAUGAUGCUGUUUCAUUGUGCUGUGAGUGGUGUCUACAUAGCAACUGAAUGUGUAGUGACAAUAAAGUGAUGUUGUGUGUGCUGAAACACCGUAGGACUGUUUGCCAGGUUCCUACACAAGAGUUCAACUUAGUAAAGCUACAAUUGAAGACUUUUACUGAGGAUGCCAGAGCUCUGACAGGUGAAUAAAAUGCCUGAAAAUGA